Molecule: ribosomal RNA, 497 nt
Filed under: uncultured bacterium
Lineage: Bacteria
Description: partial 16S ribosomal RNA
Rfam family: Bacterial small subunit ribosomal RNA
Source: RNAcentral
GAUGAACGCUGGCGGCGUGCCUAAUACAUGCAAGUCGAGCGAACGGACGAGAAGCUUGCUUCUCUGAUGUUAGCGGCGGACGGGUGAGUAACACGUGGAUAACCUACCUAUAAGACUGGGAUAACUUCGGGAACCCGGAGAUAAUACCGGAUAAUAUUUUGAACCGCAUGGUUCAAAAGUGAAAGACGGUCUUGCUGUCACUUAUAGAUGGAUCCGCGCUGCAUUAGCUAGUUGGUAAGGUAACGGCUUACCAAGGCAACGAUGCAUAGCCGACCUGAGAGGGUGAUCGGCCACACUGGAACUGAGACACGGUCCAGACUCCUACGGGAGGCAGCAGUAGGGAAUCUUCCGCAAUGGGCGAAAGCCUGACGGAGCAACGCCGCGUGAGUGAUGAAGGUCUUCGGAUCGUAAAACUCUGUUAUUAGGGAAGAACAUAUGUGUAAGUAACUGUGGACAUCUUGACGGUACCUAAUCAGAAAGCCACGGCUAACUACGUG